GGUGGACAGAGACUUCGGGAGGUGGACAGAGACUUCGGGAGGUGGACAGAGACUUCGGGAGGUGGACAGAGGCUUCGGGAGGUGGACAGAGGCUUCGGGAGGUGGACAGAGGCUUCGGGAGGUGGACAGAGGCUUCGGGAGGUGGACAGAGACUUCAGGAGGUGGACAGAGAUUUCGGGAGGUGGACAGAGACUUCAGGAGGUGUGUCUUAUGUAUGUAAAAAAGACCAAAAUUAGAUAGUGCGCCUU
Astyanax mexicanus (Mexican tetra) is the source of this 248-nucleotide long non-coding RNA. RefSeq lists it as uncharacterized. The transcript is spliced from 3 exons. NCBI's taxonomy places the organism in Eukaryota, Metazoa, Chordata, Actinopteri, Characiformes, Acestrorhamphidae. The record is from RefSeq and is a predicted model, not a curated record.